This is a long non-coding RNA of Psammomys obesus (fat sand rat), 838 nucleotides long. RefSeq lists it as uncharacterized. The transcript is spliced from 3 exons. Lineage: Eukaryota; Metazoa; Chordata; Mammalia; Rodentia; Muridae. The record is from RefSeq and is a predicted model, not a curated record.
GGGUCCGGGGCGCCGGAGACCGGGGGGUGGGGGUAGUUGCUGGCGACCGUGCGCGUGCGUGAGUCACGCGGUGGUGGGGAGAGUGCGCUGGCUCGCCGCGGCGCUGCCCAGGCGAUUGCUCACGGACUCAGGAAAACGGGUUCCAGGCUCUCCUCCGCCUGGGUGCUGAACCCUAUAACCUUGAACUACUCAGGAACUCUCCCUUACCCACCCACAAAAUCUUUGCUGCAUUGGCGACGGCCGGUUGGUCAACCCUGGGAGCACAGGGCGAAGGAUGACCGAGAACCUUCUUGACCUUAAAGCUUUGGGGGUCUAACAGAGAAAACAGAAAGCGAGCUCACACAGGUUCCGCUGGAGUGCAAGACAGGAACCGUGGAGGUGAUGGGAGAUUUGGAAACAGCUCUGUGGAGGUUUACACGGUUAUUCAAAGACCCUGGUGGAAAGCAGUCUGCCUCUCUUCCCGGAGCCAACCACAACAACCCAAACAAAGAAGAACCCAGGUGUCUGAGCCACAGGAUGAUGGGUGGCCAGGUGGCCUGAGGACAAGCACCUAAACCAGAGGAUCCCGCACCAAACCAGGAAGGAGCCCCUGAACGGGACUAGUGAAUGGAUGGAUAUUUUAAUUUUAUAGUUGACGGUGCCCAGAAUGCCAUUCCGCACGAAUCAAAAUAAGAACAACAAGGAGUGUGUUCAGAAAUUGUUAGGAAAUUUUCCCCCGCUCCCAACCAAAUUUCCCUUCACGAUUCUGAUGAAACUGCCUGCCGACAGCGAUGCUCUUAGGUGGGGUCUCGCGUGUACCAAAUUGGCCCUAAACUUCCAAGAAUGACCUUGAACUUCA